This is a non-coding RNA of Heterocephalus glaber (naked mole-rat), 264 nucleotides long. The record is from Rfam. NCBI's taxonomy places the organism in Eukaryota, Metazoa, Chordata, Mammalia, Rodentia, Bathyergidae.
AGAUGCGAGCAUGAUCUGGCUGUGACAUCUGUCACUUCAUUGAUUGCCAGGGUUGAUUUGGCUGAUCUGGUUGGCUAGGUGGGUGUUCCUUUCCUCCCUUACGGCUUCAUGUGUAUCCCUCCCAAAGCUGUGUGCUGGGUCAAAGAGGAUGACCACCCCAGUAGCUUCGAUCCCCUGCUAGAACCUCCAAACAAGCUCUCAAGAAUUUAAGAGAAGCAGAGAGGAGAGUACAAUCAAUUUGGUUUUGAUCAAUAAACAUGUAUU